Molecule: ribosomal RNA, 278 nt
Filed under: uncultured bacterium
Lineage: Bacteria
Description: partial 16S ribosomal RNA
Rfam family: Bacterial small subunit ribosomal RNA
Source: RNAcentral
UUGUCUUCUGUUGCCAUCGGGUUAUGCCGGGCACUCUGAAGAGACUGCCGGUGACAAACCGGAGGAAGGUGGGGAUGACGUCAAGUCAGCAUGGCCUUUAUGUCUGGGGCCACACACGUGCUACAAUGGCAGGUACAAACCGUCGCGAGACCGCAAGGUGGAGCUAAUCGGAGAAAGCCUGUCUCAGUUCGGAUUGUAGGCUGCAACUCGCCUGCAUGAAGUUGGAAUCGCUAGUAAUCGCGGAUCAGCACGCCGCGGUGAAUACGUUCGAGGGCCUU